GGGGGUAUAGCUCAGUGGCAGAGCACCUGCUUAGCAUGCAUGAGGUCCUGGGUUCAAUCCCCAGUAUCUCCA
Non-coding RNA from Bubalus bubalis (water buffalo), 72 nucleotides. The record is from the annotation of a RefSeq genome assembly. NCBI's taxonomy places the organism in Eukaryota, Metazoa, Chordata, Mammalia, Artiodactyla, Bovidae.